Unclassified non-coding RNA from Pongo abelii (Sumatran orangutan), 299 nucleotides. It matches the Rfam family "Metazoan signal recognition particle RNA". Rfam says of the family: The signal recognition particle (SRP) is a universally conserved ribonucleoprotein. The record is from Ensembl. NCBI's taxonomy places the organism in Eukaryota, Metazoa, Chordata, Mammalia, Primates, Hominidae.
GCUAGGCAUGCAGGCCCGUUCCAGUAGUCCCAGCUACUAGGAGGCUGUGGUGGGAGGACCAAUUGAGCCCAGGAGUCCUGGGCUGUAGUGCACUAUGCAGCUGGGGCAUCUGCACUAUAUUCAGCAUCAACAUGUUGACCUCCCAGGAGCAGGGGACCACCAGGUUGCCUAAGGAGGGGUGAAUCGGCGCAGGUCAGAAACAGAGCAGGUGAAAACUCCCACACUGAUCAGUAGUGGGAUUGCGUCUGUGAAUAGCUAAUGCACUCCAGCCUGGGCAAGAUAAUGAAAUUCUGUCUCCA